CGCCGAUGGUACUGCAGCCGCGAGGCUGUGGGAGAGUAGGACGCCGCCGGAC
This 52-nucleotide ribosomal RNA is filed under the name Nocardioides terrae. Lineage: Bacteria; Bacillati; Actinomycetota; Actinomycetes; Propionibacteriales; Nocardioidaceae. The record is from RNAcentral.